UGGGGAAUUUUGGACAAUGGGGGCAACCCUGAUCCAGCCAUGCCGCGUGAAGGAUGAAGUAUUUCGGUAUGUAAACUUCGAAAGAAUAGGAAGAAUAAAUGACGGUACUAUUUAUAAGGUCCGGCUAACUACGUGCCAGCAGCCGCGGUAAUACGUAGGGACCAAGCGUUGUUCGGAUUUACUGGGCGUAAAGGGCGCGUAGGCGGCAUGACAAGUCACUUGUGAAAUCUCUGGGCUUAACCCAGAACGGCCAAGUGAUACUGUCGCGCUAGAGUGCAGAAGGGGCAAUUGGAAUUCUUGGUGUAGCGGUGAAAUGCGUAGAUAUCAAGAGGAACACCUGAGGUGAAGACGGGUUGCUGGGCUGACACUGACGCUGAGGCGCGAAAGCCAGGGGAGCAAACGGGAUUAGAUACCCCAGUAGUCCCUGAGCGGGCUGGCAAGGCGCAU
Molecule: ribosomal RNA, 447 nt
Filed under: uncultured bacterium
Lineage: Bacteria
Description: bacterial SSU rRNA
Rfam family: Bacterial small subunit ribosomal RNA
Source: RNAcentral